Molecule: ribosomal RNA, 377 nt
Filed under: uncultured bacterium
Lineage: Bacteria
Description: bacterial SSU rRNA
Rfam family: Bacterial small subunit ribosomal RNA
Source: RNAcentral
UAAUACGUAGGGUGCUAGCGUUGUUCGGAAUCAUUGGGCGUAAAGCGCGUGUAGGUGGUUAAGUAAGUCGAAUGUGAAAUCCCUCGGCUCAACCGAGGAAGUGCAUCCGAAACUACUUAGCUAGAGGACGGUAGAGGAAGGUGGAAUUCCUAGUGUAGAGGUGAAAUUCGUAGAUAUUAGGAGGAAUACCGGUGGCGAAGGCGGCCUUCUGGGCCGUUCCUGACACUGAGACGCGAAAGCGUGGGGAGCAAACAGGAUUAGAUACCCUGGUAGUCCACGCCGUAAACGAUGGGUACUAGGUGUUGCAGGAAUUGACCCCUGCAGUGCCGCAGCUAACGCAUUAAGUACCCCGCCUGGGAAGUACGGUCGCAAGAUUA